This 433-nucleotide ribosomal RNA is filed under the name uncultured bacterium. Its description in RNAcentral is "partial 16S ribosomal RNA". It matches the Rfam family "Bacterial small subunit ribosomal RNA", at positions 29 to 507 of the family's 1533-position model. The record is from RNAcentral.
AACGAACGCUGGCGGCAUGCCUAACACAUGCAAGUCGAACGAGACCUUCGGGUCUAGUGGCGCACGGGUGCGUAACGCGUGGGAAUCUGCCCUUCGGUUGGGAAUAACUGAGAGAAAUUUCAGCUAAUACCUUAUAAUGUCUUCGGACCAAAGAUUUAUCGCCGAGGGAUGAGCCCGCGUAGGAUUAGGUAGUUGGUGGGGUAAUGGCCUACCAAGCCGACGAUCCUUAGCUGGUCUGGGAGGAUGAUCAGCCACACUGGGACUGAGACACGGCCCAGACUCCUACGGGAGGCAGCAGUGGGGAAUAUUGGACAAUGGGCGAAAGCCUGAUCCAGCAAUGCCGCGUGAGUGAUGAAGGCCUUAGGGUUGUAAAGCUCUUUUACCCGGGAUGAUAAUGGCAGUACCGGGAGAAUAAGCUCCGGCUAACUCCGUG